GCAGCAGCCGCGGGAAUACGAAGGGUGCAAGCGUUACUCGGAAUUACUGGGCGUAAAGCGUGCGUAGGUGGUGGUUUAAGUCCGUUGUGAAAGCCCUGGGCUCAACCUGGGAAUUGCAGUGGAUACUGGGUCACUAGAGUGUGGUAGAGGAUAGUGGAAUUUCCGGUGUAGCAGUGAAAUGCGUAGAGAUCGGAAGGAACAUCUGUGGCGAAGGCGACUAUCUGGGCCAACACUGACACUGAGGCACGAAAGCGUGGGGAGCAAACAGGAUUAGAUACCCGAGUAGUCCCUGUCUCUUAUAC
Molecule: ribosomal RNA, 302 nt
Filed under: uncultured bacterium
Lineage: Bacteria
Description: partial 16S ribosomal RNA
Rfam family: Bacterial small subunit ribosomal RNA
Source: RNAcentral